CUACGGGGGGCUGCAGUGGGGAAUAUUGGACAAUGGGGGAAACCCUGAUCCAGCAAUGCCGCGUGUGUGAAGAAGGCCUGCGGGUUGUAAAGCACUUUCGGUUGGGAGGACUGCUUCUAGCACUAAUAUUGUUGGAAGUUGACGUUACCUUCAGAAGAAGCACCGGCUAGCUCCGUGCCAGCAGGCCGCGGUAAUACGGAGGGUGCAAGCGUUAAUCGGAAUUACUGGGCGUAAAGCGCGCGUAGGCGGCUAGAUCAGUCGGGUGUGAAAGCCCCGGGCUUAACCUGGGAACUGCAUCCGAUACUGUCUAGCUUGAGUACAGGAGAGGAGAGUGGAAUUCCACAUGUAGCGGUGAAAUGCGUAGAUAUGUGGAGGAACACCAAUGGCGAAGGCAGCUCUCUGGCCUGAUACUGACGCUGAGGUGCGAAAGCGUGGGGAGCAAACAGGAUUAGAUACCCUAGUAGUC
This 466-nucleotide ribosomal RNA is filed under the name uncultured bacterium. Its description in RNAcentral is "partial 16S ribosomal RNA". It matches the Rfam family "Bacterial small subunit ribosomal RNA", at positions 339 to 795 of the family's 1533-position model. The record is from RNAcentral.